GUACCCGAAGUCGCCCCUCAAAACGGCGCCGAAGGUAUGGGUUGGUGAUUGGGAGUG
This 57-nucleotide ribosomal RNA is filed under the name uncultured bacterium. Its description in RNAcentral is "partial 16S ribosomal RNA". The record is from RNAcentral.